Non-coding RNA from Pelodiscus sinensis (Chinese soft-shelled turtle), 1558 nucleotides. The record is from RefSeq and is a predicted model, not a curated record. NCBI's taxonomy places the organism in Eukaryota, Metazoa, Chordata, Testudines, Trionychidae.
AUUGCCAGAGGCGGCUGUUUACCUGGCACUGCUGCCCCUGGAAAGUGUCACCCCAAGCACCUGCUUGAUUUGCUGGCGCCUAGAGCCGCCUUGUUCCGGGAAGCAGGAAGCAGCUCAGGAGCAACAACGGCUCUUGGGUUUCCCAUGCUGAGGACCUGUUUUAUUUAGCUAGAUAUUUACGUUUUGAGAACUUCUUGUAAAGAAAGAGGCAUCUAAAUACACUUCACUCUGUGAAAGGGCAUAGAAGAAGCAGGAGCCUCAAUCCAUCUCCCAAAGGAGAUGGAUGCAAGAACAAACAAAGGCACCCUGGGCCCAAAGGUCCUUGGGGGUCCGGAGUUCCUCCUGCUUCUCCCAGUACUCUCCGCAGAGGGGCGGAUCCUCGGGACCGGGGGCCAGCUGCCUCUCUAGCUCUAAAACCUCCCGUUCCAACUGUUCUAUCGCUGCAUCCCUCCGCCGGCUGACCCCUCUCCCCCGGGUGUAGUCACGGCAGAAGAGCCAUAUGUUCAUCUUCCCUACAUCCCACCACUGCUGCGCCAAGGGAAAGGCACACUGCCGCCCGCACCAGGCCAGCCAGAACUCCCGGAAGGAUGCUGCAAAGCCCACAUCCUCCAGCAGGCUGUUAUUGAAAUGCGAGUAGGCCGGCCCCGGCCUCUCUGAGGAAAGAGAGGCCAUCAUGGCCACCAAGUGAUGGUCCGUGAAAGGGGCUGGCCGAAUGCUGGAGGAGAGGGCCCGGAAGAAAUGAUGGGAAGAUAAAUGCGGUACCACCGGGAGUGGAAAGACCAAUGACCCACCAUCUGGACGUAGGUAAACACCAUUUCCUCGCCCAGGUAAAGGUCUUGCCAGACAUUCACCAGGGAGUUAUGGUCUAUUAUCUCCCUGAGGACGUCCAUGGCGGCCAGGCACUGCUUGAGCCCCGUACGGUCCCGCUCCUUGAGGGUGCAGUUGAAGUCCCUGCCCAGGACCAGGCACUCGCGAGGAUCCAAGGAGCCGAGGAAGGCAGACGCCCGCUGAUAGAAGCAUAGCCUCUCCGGGCUGGACGUCGGGGCAUAGAUGUUAAUGAGAUUUAAAGUCAGCCCCUCCAUCCAAACCCGGAUAUGCCGCAGGCGACCCUGCACAGCCUCGGCAAUCUCAAGUACCUCGGGCUGCAGGUUCGGGGAGAACAGGGUGCCAUCCCGUCUUGAUGGGCCAACAGGUGGCUAAAAUAAACCCUGUCCCCCCACUCCAGCUGCCAGCUAGCUCCGGGGCCAGAGUCAUAUGGGUUUCCUGUAGGAACAUGACAGAGUACCCCCCCCAAAUGAAGGAGAGUACCCGACACCUACGGAGACCUGACCCGCAGCCCUGGGUGUUUAGAGUGGUAAGGAUGAAUGGCGGCAUCGAGAGGGUGGGGGAAGAUCUUCGCUGGCAGGAGUGUUAGUAGUCCCCAUUGGGCCCCUCAGCAAAACUUUGACUGUACCCAAAAGUGAGCAGGUUUUCAUGGAAGCUGCGGACCCGCUGGUAAGCUGUAGCCUCACACCACCUGGUCCCUUUACCCUCCCCCAAGAGGGCCCUUACUGUUCGU